GGAGCUCUGCAGGGGGUCCAUCUGGAAAGGACUUCAACAUCCGGAAGAGCUUAGAGUUUAGUCCAUUUUGAAGGCACCACAGAACCCUCCAAGUGGCAGGCAGCCUCCAGAAUUGACCCUGACCAGCAGGCAUGCAGCGGGAACCCAGAGGGAGGACGGACAACAGAGCUCUCCCCACGCAGCUGCAUGAGAUGGGAGGGGAGAGGGUCCCUCCACAGUGGGCACGAUUGCGGUUAACAGCUCACCAGUGGUGGAAGGGAUCGACCAACAGGAAAACAGCAGCCACCACUCUACUUACCGACUGCAGCCCUAAAAAUUAAGACAAGUGACAUCAGAACAUCAAGAGACACAUCCUGAGAAGAUUAGCCUUGGGUCGUAUGGAGAG
Molecule: long non-coding RNA, 385 nt
Organism: Lynx canadensis (Canada lynx)
Lineage: Eukaryota; Metazoa; Chordata; Mammalia; Carnivora; Felidae
Exons: 3
Source: RefSeq, a predicted model, not a curated record